Molecule: ribosomal RNA, 315 nt
Filed under: uncultured eukaryote
Lineage: Eukaryota
Description: partial 18S ribosomal RNA
Rfam family: Eukaryotic small subunit ribosomal RNA
Source: RNAcentral
UCCUUAGACGUUCUGGGCCGCACGCGCGCUACACUGACCGGUGCAACAAGCAUCCGUCCUUGGCCGACAGGCCCGGGCAAUCUUUGAACGCCGGUCGUGAUGGGGAUAGACUUUUGCAAUUUUUGGUCUUCAACGAGGAAUUCCUAGUAAACGCAAGUCAUCAACUUGCAUUGAUUACGUCCCUGCCCUUUGUACACACCGCCCGUCGCACCUACCGAUUGAAUGGUCCGGUGAAGCCUCCGGAUUGGCGCGCACCUCGGUGCCGCCGAGAAGUUGGCUAAACCUUACCAUUUAGAGGAAGGUGAAGUCGUAACA